AUUAGACUUUGUAACAACUAGACGUAACAAUACAAAAAGGUUAAAACUGUAAUUCUCCGAUCAUUCUUUAGCAUCACGUGACUAUUUUAUUGCUGAACCGCCAACACUUAGUUCUUUCUUAUAAUCUAUAAUUAUUAGGGUCUGUCAAUGAUAAUUCUGAAAGGGAAGGAAAUAGGCGUGGACUUACCGUAUCAAACACUCUGAGAUAUUUAUAGAUAUAAUGUUGUGUGGGGUCUGUAGGGGAUUUCGUAAAGGAAGGAACAAUUGUAUCAGUGAUUAGUGGCUAGUCCAAAAUUGCAAUUCAACUGAAUUCCACAAUUGAAAAGCAAAACCAUAAAUUUGUCAAAUUACAAAAAUCGCUAUAAUAUCCAGCAUGCUAAAGUACGUCCCCACGCCCAAAAUCAGCAGCGCAAACAGUCCCAGCACCGCAUUCUUCACCAGCUGCCACCUCAGCCACCCGAAAUCGUGCGGCCACCGGAAGAUCGUGUCCAGCACCACCGGGGUCAUCAGCGCCAGCGUAGCCGACCCGAUCGAGCCCACAAACCCAAUGAACGGUUCCAGCUGGGGCACCAACAUCGCCAGACCCACGUUCGCCACCAGAAUGGCAAACCGGAUACCGGCCUGGGCCAGGUUGUAGCGCGCCUCCGGAAUCCGGUGUCCGAUCUUACGCCAUAGGAUCUCCAUCGGGACGUAGUAGUAGAGGCCGGUCGUGAAGAUGAUGGCGCCGGCCGCCAGGAGUUGGGUUGAUUUGGCUAAUCUGAAGAUUUAGGGUAGUAUUUGUAUUGAGAAGUUGGCAGUUUGAAGAAUCUCACAUUUGAUCAUUCGGGAGAUUCAACGUGAUAGAGCCCUUCGUUUCCUCUCCGUACAGGGCGUACCCGAAAAAGCCGGUUAUGUUGUACAAGAUGGUGAUCGAGCAGAUCGCGAUGUUCAGGACUCCAAAGCGGUGCAAGAAGUGCUGCGGGUGUUUCAUCUUGUUCUCCACGGGUAGCACGAUACCGAUGCCUUCAAUGGCGUAAACUGCUGUACUAGAAUGAAAAUGAAUGUAAGCCAGUCUAGAUGAUGAUCAUAUCCUCAAAAUUACCCGAAAAACGCCGGAAGAUUUGUGGCCUCUGGCCACAGACGUCGAUCGUCGAAGGUGAUCGGUUCCUUGAACACGUAAACCAUCGUGAUGACAAAUACAACGAUGAUCGAGGUGUUCGCGAUCAAUGAGAACGGAACCAGGUACUUCAGCUCUCGAACUUGGGUGAUAAUCGCGAUCGCGGCUGACGUUAGCAGGAUGUAGAUCCGGAUGCUCCAGUCGAGCUUGAACUCAUAGUUGAGCACGUCUCGCAGGGUUGUUGAAAUGAACACGAGGUAGACGCAGAUCGAGAAGAAGCUCACGAUCAGGACGAAUCCGGCAAACCUUCGCACCCCCGGAGGUCCGUUGGCGAACACAUUCUCCGCCGUUUCGGCGAAACCCAGCACCGGAAUG
Molecule: long non-coding RNA, 1471 nt
Organism: Culex quinquefasciatus (southern house mosquito)
Lineage: Eukaryota; Metazoa; Arthropoda; Insecta; Diptera; Culicidae
Exons: 3
Source: RefSeq, a predicted model, not a curated record